CUUUCCUUUCGCUGCUGCGGCCGCAGCCAUGAGUAUGCUCAGGCUUCAGAAGAGGCUCGCCUCUAGUGUCCUCCGCUGUGGUAAGAAGAAGGUCUGGUUAGACCCCAAUGAGACCAAUGAAAUCGCCAAUGCCAACUCCCGUCAGCAGAUCCGGAAGCUCAUCAAAGAUGGGCUGAUCAUCCGCAAGCCUGUGACGGUCCAUUCCCGGGCUCGAUGCCGGAAAAACACCUUGGCCCGCCGGAAGGGCAGGCACAUGGGCAUAGGUAAGUGUGGUCAUCUUCUCCUUAAGAAAUGAUAGGUGCUGGCGUCUAUGCUGAAAUAUAUUCAGGAUCUAAGCACUCUGUCUCAUCUUGAGCCCGUUUCUUACUCCUUGAUAUUUGAUGUGUUUUCUGCCUGUGUGCAAAUCAGAAAGUUGGUGCUGGUAUUGGAAUUGAGAGUAUCCCUGGUAGGAGGUCACAUUUACUAAGUCCCUACCUACACUAUGCCAAGGAUUCUGUACUUUCUAGUUUCAGAAUGAUCGAAGGAAGCUCCUUACAACGUGCUGUGUUGCCUUGGUGCACUGCCUGUUACACCCACA
RNAcentral lists this small RNA (577 nucleotides) under Pan troglodytes (chimpanzee). Its description in RNAcentral is "retained intron". Lineage: Eukaryota; Metazoa; Chordata; Mammalia; Primates; Hominidae. The record is from RNAcentral.